UAUGCACGCUGGCGGCAUGCCUAACACAUGCAAGUCGAUCGGUAAGGCUCUUCGGAGUACACGAGAGGCGGACGGCUGAGUAACGCGUAGGAACACACCCUGCAGUGAGGGAUAAGACACCGAAAGGUGUUCUAAUACCGCAUACGGUCUUCGGAUUAAAGCAUUUAUGCGCUGAAGGAGUGGCCUGCGUCAUAUUAGAUAGUUGGUGAGGUAAUGGCUCACCAAGUCGAUGAUGUGUAGCUGGUCUGAGAGGAUGAUCAGCCAGACUGGAACUGAGACACGGUCCAGACUCCUACGGGAGGCAGCAGUGAGGAAUAUUUCACAAUGAGCGAAAGCUUGAUGGAGCAAUGCCGCGUGCAGGAUGAAGGCCUUCGGGUUGUAAACUGCUUUUAUAAGAGAAGAUUAUGACGGUAACUUAUGAAUAAGGGACGGCUAACUACGUG
Molecule: ribosomal RNA, 443 nt
Filed under: uncultured bacterium
Lineage: Bacteria
Description: partial 16S ribosomal RNA
Rfam family: Bacterial small subunit ribosomal RNA
Source: RNAcentral